UACGUAGGUGGCAAGCGUUGUCCGGAAUUAUUGGGCGUAAAGGGCGCGCAGGCGGCCUGUCAAGUCUGUCUUAAAAGUGCGGGGCUCAACCCCGUGAUGGGACGGAAACUGGCAGGCUGGAGUGUCGGAGAGGAAAGCAGAAUUCCUAGUGUAGCGGUGAAAUGCGUAGAUAUUAGGAGGAAUACCAGUGGCGAAAGCGGCUUUCUGGACGACAACUGACGCUGAGGCGCGAAAGCCAGGGGAGCAAACGGGAUUAGAUACCCCGGUAGUCCUGGCCGUAAACGAUGGGUACUAGGUGUAGGAGGUAUCGACCCCUUCUGUGCCGGAGUUAACGCAAUAAGUAUCCCGCCUGGGGAGUACGGCCGCAAGGCUGAAACUCAAAGGAAUUGACGGGGGCCCGCACAAGCGGUGGAGUAUGUGGUUUAAUUCGACGCAACGCGAAGAACCUUACCAAGCCUUGACAUUGAUUGAACGAGGCAGAGAUGCCUUUUUCCUCUUCGGAGGACAAGAAAACAGGUGGUGCACGGCUGUCGUCAGCUCGUGUCGUGAGAUGUUGGGUUAAGUCCCGCAACGAGCGCAACCCCUAUCUUCUGUUACCAGCACGUAAGGGUGGGGGCUCAGGAGAGACUGCCGCAGACAAUGCGGAGGAAGGCGGGGAUGACGUCAAGUCAUCAUGCCCCUUAUGGCUUGGGCUACACACGUACUACAAUGGCUCUUAAUAGAGGGACGCGAAGGAGCGAUCUGGAGCAAACCCCAAAAACAGAGUCCCAGUUCGGAUUGCAGGCUGCAACCCGCCUGCAUGAAGCAGGAAUCGCUAGUAAUCGCAGGUCAGCAUACUGCGGUGAAUACGUUCCCGGGCCU
This 861-nucleotide ribosomal RNA is filed under the name uncultured bacterium. RNAcentral's name for it is "SSU rRNA". It matches the Rfam family "Bacterial small subunit ribosomal RNA", at positions 524 to 1381 of the family's 1533-position model. The record is from RNAcentral.